GGAAUAUUGGUCAAUGGUCGAGAGACUGAACCAGCCAAGUAGCGUGAAGGAAGACUGCCCUACGGGUUGUAAACUUCUUUUGUUUGGGAAUAAAGUGAGUCACGUGUGACUUUUUGUAUGUACCAUACGAAUAAGCAUCGGCUAAUUCCGUGCCAGCAGCCGCGGUAAUACGGAAGAUGCGAGCGUUAUCCGGAUUUAUUGGGUUUAAAGGGAGCGUAGGCGGCCCGUUAAGUCAGCGGUCAAAUGUCAGUGCCCAACAUUGGCAAGCCGUUGAUACUGGUGGGCUUGAAUACACACAAGGAAGGUGGAAUUCGUCGUGUAGCGGUGAAAUGCUUAGAUAUGACGAAGAACUCCGAUUGCGAAGGUAGCCUUCUGGGGUGCGAUUGACGCUGAGGCUCGAAAGUGCGGGAAUCAAACA
This 418-nucleotide ribosomal RNA is filed under the name uncultured Paraprevotella sp. RNAcentral's name for it is "bacterial SSU rRNA". It matches the Rfam family "Bacterial small subunit ribosomal RNA", at positions 358 to 774 of the family's 1533-position model. The record is from RNAcentral. Lineage: Bacteria; Pseudomonadati; Bacteroidota; Bacteroidia; Bacteroidales; Prevotellaceae.